CUAAGAAUCUUCCGCAAUGGGCGAAAGCCUGACGGAGCGAUGCCGCGUGAUCGAUGAAGGUCGAGAGAUUGUAAAGAUCUUUUCCAACUGAGGAAUAAGAGCCGGAGGGAAUGCCGGUUUGAUGACGUUAAGUUGGGAAUAAGCCCCGGCUAAUUACGUG
This 160-nucleotide ribosomal RNA is filed under the name uncultured bacterium. RNAcentral's name for it is "partial 16S rRNA". It matches the Rfam family "Bacterial small subunit ribosomal RNA", at positions 355 to 507 of the family's 1533-position model. The record is from RNAcentral.